RNAcentral lists this unclassified non-coding RNA (243 nucleotides) under uncultured Dothideomycetes. RNAcentral describes it as "sequence contains ITS1". Lineage: Eukaryota; Fungi; Ascomycota; Dothideomycetes. The record is from RNAcentral.
CAGUAAACUACUGUAGACCUGAUGUCUUGGAUUAAAACCUUGGAGAUGGAAGUUUGGCCUAGAAAUAGGUUGGCUGCUCCUCCUUGUGGCCCAUAACCCGGGAAUCCUGCAUCGCCCCACCCUUGUAAACAUGAAUUAAACGUAACCUCGGUAGGUUUGCCUACCGGUGGAAGCAUUAAACUCUUUUAUAAAUAAGCUGCAAAUAAGAUUUUAAAUAGUCUGAAAAUAAUAUUAAUUAUUUUA